RNAcentral lists this ribosomal RNA (550 nucleotides) under uncultured bacterium. RNAcentral's name for it is "bacterial SSU rRNA". It matches the Rfam family "Bacterial small subunit ribosomal RNA", at positions 355 to 896 of the family's 1533-position model. The record is from RNAcentral.
UAGGGAAUCUUCGGCAAUGGGGGCAACCCUGACCGAGCAACGCCGCGUGAGUGAAGAAGGUUUUCGGAUCGUAAAGCUCUGUUGUAAGUCAAGAACGAGUGUGAGAGUGGAAAGUUCACACUGUGACGGUAGCUUACCAGAAAGGGACGGCUAACUACGUGCCAGCAGCCGCGGUAAUACGUAGGUCCCGAGCGUUGUCCGGAUUUAUUGGGCGUAAAGCGAGCGCAGGCGGUUUGAUAAGUCUGAAGUUAAAGGCUGUGGCUCAACCACAGUUCGCUUUGGAAACUGUCAAACUUGAGUGCAGAAGGGGAGAGUGGAAUUCCAUGUGUAGCGGUGAAAUGCGUAGAUAUAUGGAGGAACACCGGUGGCGAAAGCGGCUCUCUGGUCUGUAACUGACGCUGAGGCUCGAAAGCGUGGGGAGCGAACAGGAUUAGAUACCCUGGUAGUCCACGCCGUAAACGAUGAGUGCUAGGUGUUGGAUCCUUUCCGGGAUUCAGUGCCGCAGCUAACGCAUUAAGCACUCCGCCUGGGGAGUACGACCGCAAGGUUG